CGAAAGACUGGUAUACUGCAAAUGCCAUCGGCCACAACACCUUACAAGUUACCGUCAAAAGACUGUGCAAGACGUCCGGUAUUGAGGGCAUGAAGACAAACCAUUCCUUGAGAGCCACGGCAGCCACUCGAUUGUAUCAAGGUGACGUUGAUGAACAAAUGAUUUGCGAAAUUACCGGACAUCGGAGCGACGCCGUUCGAAAUUACAAGAGAACUUCUGACAACCAAAAGGCAACGGUCUCUGACAUACUUAGUAUGUCCAAAAAAAUGAACUCGCCAUCACGUGAAGAAGCUGAUCCGAAAAGAGCUGAUGACCAAAGACCUGAAGACAAACUAAAUCGAACUGUGACGCUCAAUUUCAAUUUCAUCUAAUAUCAAUAAAUAGUUGAGCCAUGUUCUGUUGUUGUUUUUUCAUGCAGAAAGGUAAUUCAAUACAGAGGGUAUUC
Molecule: long non-coding RNA, 445 nt
Filed under: Haliotis rufescens (red abalone)
Lineage: Eukaryota; Metazoa; Mollusca; Gastropoda; Lepetellida; Haliotidae
Description: uncharacterized LOC125377997
Source: RNAcentral